Molecule: ribosomal RNA, 600 nt
Filed under: uncultured bacterium
Lineage: Bacteria
Description: bacterial SSU rRNA
Rfam family: Bacterial small subunit ribosomal RNA
Source: RNAcentral
UUUACUGACGCUAAAGCUCGAAGGUGCGGGUAUCGAACAGGAUUAGAUACCCUGGUAGUCCGCACGGUAAACGAUGGAUGCCCGCUGUUUGCGAUAUAUUGUAAGCGGCCAAGAGAAAUCGUUAAGCAUCCCACCUGGGGAGUACGCCGGCAACGGUGAAACUCAAAGGAAUUGACGGGGGCCCGCACAAGCGGAGGAACAUGUGGUUUAAUUCGAUGAUACGCGAGGAACCUUACCCGGGCUUGAACUGCAGCGGAAGGAUACAGAGAUGUUGACGUCCUUCGGGACCGCUGUGGAGGUGCUGCAUGGUUGUCGUCAGCUCGUGCCGUGAGGUGUCGGCUUAAGUGCCAUAACGAGCGCAACCCUUUUCAUCAGUUGCCAUCAGGUGAUGCUGGGCACUCUGUUGAUACUGCCACCGUAAGGUGUGAGGAAGGUGGGGAUGACGUCAAAUCAGCACGGCCCUUACGUCCGGGGCUACACACGUGUUACAAUGGGGCAUACAGAAGGCAGGAUCAUGGCAACAUGGUUCAAAUCUUUAAAGUGCUCCUCAGUUCGGAUUGGGGUCUGCAACCCGACCCCAUGAAGCUGGAUUCGCUAGUA